RNAcentral lists this ribosomal RNA (232 nucleotides) under uncultured bacterium. Its description in RNAcentral is "partial 16S ribosomal RNA". It matches the Rfam family "Bacterial small subunit ribosomal RNA", at positions 99 to 334 of the family's 1533-position model. The record is from RNAcentral.
CGGACGGGUGAGUAAUGUCUGGGAAACUGCCUGAUGGAGGGGGAUAACUACUGGAAACGGUAGCUAAUACCGCAUAACGUCGCAAGACCAAAGAGGGGGACCUUCGGGCCUCUUGCCAUCGGAUGUGCCCAGAUGGGAUUAGCUAGUAGGUAAGGUAACGGCUUACCUAGGCGACGAUCCCUAGCUGGUCUGAGAGGAUGAUCAGCCACACUGGGACUGAGACACGGCCCAG